ACUCCUACGGGAGGCAGCAGUGGGGAAUAUUGCACAAUGGGCGAAAGCCUGAUGCAGCAACGCCGCGUGAGGGAUGACGGCCUUCGGGUUGUAAACCUCUUUUAGUAGGGAAGAAGCGAAAGUGACGGUACCUGCAGAAAAAGCACCGGCUAACUACGUGCCAGCAGCCGCGGUAAUACGUAGGGUGCAAGCGUUGUCCGGAAUUAUUGGGCGUAAAGAGCUCGUAGGCGGUUUGUCGCGUCUGCUGUGAAAUCCCGAGGCUCAACCUCGGGUCUGCAGUGGGUACGGGCAGACUAGAGUGCGGUAGGGGAGAUUGGAAUUCCUGGUGUAGCGGUGGAAUGCGCAGAUAUCAGGAGGAACACCGAUGGCGAAGGCAGAUCUCUGGGCCGUAACUGACGCUGAGGAGCGAAAGCAUGGGGAGCGAACAGGAUUAGAUACCCUGGUAGUCCAUGCCGUAAACGUUGGGAACUAGAUGUGGGGACCAUUCCACGGUCUCCGUGUCGCAGCUAACGCAUUAAGU
RNAcentral lists this ribosomal RNA (520 nucleotides) under bacterium btn 11f-3. RNAcentral describes it as "bacterial SSU rRNA". It matches the Rfam family "Bacterial small subunit ribosomal RNA", at positions 335 to 865 of the family's 1533-position model. The record is from RNAcentral.